GUAUAUGGCCAUACCACCCUGACUGAACCCGAUCUCAUCUGAUCUCAGAAGCUAAGCAGGGUUGAGCCUGGUUAGUACUGGAUGGGAGACCACUGGGAUACUGGGUGCUGUAAGGC
This 116-nucleotide ribosomal RNA is filed under the name Tursiops truncatus (common bottlenose dolphin). The record is from RNAcentral. Lineage: Eukaryota; Metazoa; Chordata; Mammalia; Artiodactyla; Delphinidae.